UGCCAGACUCCUACGGGAGGCAGCAGUGGGGAAUAUUGCACAAUGGGGGAAACCCUGAUGCAGCGACGCCGCGUGAGCGAUGAAGUAUUUCGGUAUGUAAAGCUCUAUCAGCAGGGAAGAAGAUGACGGUACCUGACUAAGAAGCCCCGGCUAACUACGUGCCAGCAGCCGCGGUAAUACGUAGGGGGCAAGCGUUAUCCGGAUUUACUGGGUGUAAAGGGAGCGUAGACGGCGAUGCAAGCCAGAUGUGAAAGCCCGGGGCUCAACCCCGGGACUGCAUUUGGAACUGUGUGGCUGGAGUGUCGGAGAGGCAGGCGGAAUUCCUAGUGUAGCGGUGAAAUGCGUAGAUAUUAGGAGGAACACCAGUGGCGAAGGCGGCCUGCUGGACGAUGACUGACGUUGAGGCUCGAAAGCGUGGGGAGCAAACAGGAUUAGAUACCCCCGUAGA
This 448-nucleotide ribosomal RNA is filed under the name uncultured bacterium. RNAcentral describes it as "bacterial SSU rRNA". It matches the Rfam family "Bacterial small subunit ribosomal RNA", at positions 329 to 794 of the family's 1533-position model. The record is from RNAcentral.